GACGAACGCUGGCGGCGUGCUUAACACAUGCAAGUCGAACGGAAAGGCCCUGCUCUUGCUCCGUGCUCGAUUGCCGAACACGUGAGUAACACGCGAGUAUCCUGUCCCUGUCUUUCGGGUAACUUCAGGAAAAUCCGGCUCAUACCGGGUAUGAUCUCCUGCUCCAUGGUGGGGGUUGGAGAGUUUCGGCGGUUGGGGAUGGACUGGCUGCUUACCCGCUUGUUUGUGGGGUAGGUGCUGACCAAGGUUGUGACGGGUAGCCGGCCUGGGAGGGGUACCGGCGACAGUAGGACUGAGAUACGGCGCAGACUGCUACGGGAGGCAGCAGGGGGGAACAUGGCGCAGUGGGCGGAAGCCUGAGGCAGCAACGUCGGGUGCGGGAUGACGGCCUUCGGGUGGUAAACCGCUUUCGCCUGUGACGAAGCGGGAGUGACGGUAAUGGGUAAAGAAGCAACGGCUAACUACGUG
This 468-nucleotide ribosomal RNA is filed under the name uncultured bacterium. RNAcentral's name for it is "partial 16S ribosomal RNA". It matches the Rfam family "Bacterial small subunit ribosomal RNA", at positions 28 to 507 of the family's 1533-position model. The record is from RNAcentral.